RNAcentral lists this long non-coding RNA (1102 nucleotides) under Medicago truncatula (barrel medic). Its description in RNAcentral is "lncRNA gene42577". Lineage: Eukaryota; Viridiplantae; Streptophyta; Magnoliopsida; Fabales; Fabaceae. The record is from RNAcentral.
AGAUUAAGUAAAACAACUUACUAGGAAGAAGGCCUUGAUAUCAUUCCUUGUUAACCUCACUUCAGCGUUUUCAUUUCUAUACACUUGUAAUAGGAUAUCCAUCAUAUCUCCUUGACAAUCCUCAGUGUUUAUUCUCUCUUCAUGUUCCUUCAAGAAACCUUCCAAAAUCUUGUCAAAUUCCCCCACUAUUUUCCUAAGCUUUUUCCCAUAACCAAACAAGUCAAACUUCCCCAAAGGCCCAAGCACUUCACCCAUACUCAAUUUAGCUCCUACAUGCAUAAACUCCCUAACCAAACAUUGAAUAACCUCAGGAUCAAUAUUAUAUUUUUUGAAACAUGUGGUUCCCAUGCUCAUACGACACAAGAUGUUAUUGGUCAAAGUAGUAAAGUCCAAACCCAAAUCCGUUGACCUAUUUUCAUUAGAGCAUAUCAAAAGAGAUUUCAAGAGUUUCUCUAAUUCUUGCUCUCUAAUAUGCAUGAAGCGACCAAGUUGAGAGCUAGAGAGUAAUUUAGUAACGCAUAUUUUUUUCAUGAAUCUCCAAUAUGGACCAUAUGGGGCAGUGAUGAAAUAAGACCCUUUGUAUAAGUAAUCAUGAGAGGAUCCAAAUUGGGGUCGGUAGCUAAAAUUAAGGUCAUGUGUUUUCAUGACUUGUUUGGCAACUUGUGCAUUGGAGACAACUAUAGAAGUUGAUGCACCUAGAUUGAGCUGAAUUAAGGGACCAUAUUGGUGAGAAAGUGUUUGGAAUGAUUUUGGUAUGACUGAGCCUAUAUGGUGAAGGUGGCCUAUUAUUGGUAGUGAUCUUGGACUUGGUGGGGGUCUAAAUUUGGAGCUACCAUUUGUGGUUCGUUUAUUGUUGACAAGUAAUGUGAAAAUUAGCAAAGCUAGAAAGGAGAAGAUGUAGAAGAAAAUAGUAGCACCAUCAAAAGCCAUGGCUUAAUUUAGGGCCAAAUGACUUGUUUCUUUUUCUUUGAGUUAAUUAAAAGCUUACAGUUACAAGAUGCAAAACAUCUAUUAUGUGAUGUCUUACUUAUAUUAUUGAAUCAGCUGCUUUUUUAAUCAAUAAAAAUAGAAUCCCAAAUUGCUUAAUCAUACCAUAAAAUUG